This is a long non-coding RNA of Prionailurus viverrinus (fishing cat), 481 nucleotides long. RefSeq lists it as uncharacterized. NCBI's taxonomy places the organism in Eukaryota, Metazoa, Chordata, Mammalia, Carnivora, Felidae. The record is from RefSeq and is a predicted model, not a curated record. The transcript has 2 exons.
UCCAGUGCCUGGGAGCCCACUGGGAGCCCAACUCCAGUCCUCAUGCUAUCUAGACCCAGGGAAACCACUCUGUCUGGGGACCUCAGGCAACACCACAUAGUCCUGAUGGGGAAAAAAAACGCUGGGAGCAGCUUCCAGGAUGCAGGUCAUUUCAUCCAGAACGCACCACGCUGAGAAAGGACAAUUCCUUGCAACCUACUUCGCAGAGGAGUCUGAAGCCGCAUCAGGCAAAACUAAGUCAGAAACAGAGCUUCAAGACCAGGAGAAUGAUUCAGGCUUCUUGACCUGACUGGCUUAAGCAAAGCCUGAGAAACGCUGCUGAAAGGCUGCCGUUCUGCACUAGUGCGACCCGGCUCCCGUUCCCACUCCACCGUCCCUAUCACUGGCCAGCACACAUGAAUUCACAGAACCAGCCAAUAGGCUGGAGUCCCUCCAAUUAUUAAGAUCAUCUUCUUCUCUUAAAGAAUGGGCUUUUCCAGUG